RNAcentral lists this ribosomal RNA (468 nucleotides) under uncultured bacterium. Its description in RNAcentral is "partial 16S ribosomal RNA". It matches the Rfam family "Bacterial small subunit ribosomal RNA", at positions 28 to 507 of the family's 1533-position model. The record is from RNAcentral.
GACGAACGCUGGCGGCGUGCUUAACACAUGCAAGUCGAACGGAAAGGCUCUGCUUUUGUGGGGUGCUCGAGUGGCGAACGGGUGAGUAACACGGGAGUAACCUGCCCUUGACUAUGGGAUAACUUCAGGAAACUGGGGCUAAUACCGGAUAGGAGCUCCUGCUUCAUGGGGGGGGAUGGAAAGUUUCGGCGGUUGGGGAUGUACUGCCGGCUUAUCAGCUUGUUGGUGGGGUAGUGGCUUACCAAGGCUUUGCCGGGUAGCCGGCCUGAGAGGGUGAGCGGCCACAGUGGGACUGAGAUACGGACCAGACUCCUACGGGAGGCAGCAGUGGGGAAUAUUGCACAAUGGGCGGAAGCCUGAUGCAGAAACGCCGCGUGCGCGAUGACGGCCUUCGGGUUGUAAACCGCUUUCGCCUGUGACGAAGAGAAAGUGACGGUACUGUGUAAAGAAGCACCGGCUAACUACGUG